This 274-nucleotide small nucleolar RNA is filed under the name Podarcis muralis (Common wall lizard). The record is from RNAcentral. Lineage: Eukaryota; Metazoa; Chordata; Lepidosauria; Squamata; Lacertidae.
AAUCUGCAGCCUUGGAAUUGCCCUUAGUUGCUCUUGUACUCUGGGCAUAUUGGCUUUGCAGAAAGAGUAUCUGACUGAGGAAGCCGAGGCAGGACUGUAAAAAGUAGCAUCCGCUCCAUGUGCAAUGUUCCUCUGACAUGUGCAGUACUGUUGCCACGGAGAUAAUGAUUGUCCUAGUGUCAUUAUCCAUCUAUCAACAGUAAGAGUGAAUUUGCUGUAUGAUAUUGUUCAGCAAAUGGAGCAUUUCUGCUGAACACUAAAAACUGCUACAUAU